RNAcentral lists this transfer RNA (76 nucleotides) under Staphylococcus aureus M0416. Its description in RNAcentral is "tRNA-Lys". It matches the Rfam family "tRNA". From Rfam's summary of the family: Transfer RNA (tRNA) molecules are approximately 80 nucleotides in length. Their secondary structure includes four short double-helical elements and three loops (D, anti-codon, and T loops). Further hydrogen bonds mediate the characteristic L-shaped molecular structure. tRNAs have two regions of fundamental functional importance: the anti-codon, which is responsible for specific mRNA codon recognition, and the 3' end, to which the tRNAs corresponding amino acid is attached (by aminoacyl-tRNA synthetases). tRNAs cope with the degeneracy of the genetic code in two manners: having more than one tRNA (with a specific anti-codon) for a particular amino acid; and 'wobble' base-pairing, i.e. permitting non-standard base-pairing at the 3rd anti-codon position. The record is from RNAcentral. Lineage: Bacteria; Bacillati; Bacillota; Bacilli; Caryophanales; Staphylococcaceae. RNAcentral also lists the same sequence under 1 other name.
GAGCCAUUAGCUCAGUUGGUAGAGCAUCUGACUUUUAAUCAGAGGGUCAGAGGUUCGAACCCUCUAUGGCUCACUA